UAAACGGUCCUUUUCAGGACCACCGA
Molecule: non-coding RNA, 26 nt
Organism: Aedes albopictus (Asian tiger mosquito)
Lineage: Eukaryota; Metazoa; Arthropoda; Insecta; Diptera; Culicidae
Source: Rfam